This 240-nucleotide ribosomal RNA is filed under the name uncultured bacterium. Its description in RNAcentral is "partial 16S ribosomal RNA". It matches the Rfam family "Bacterial small subunit ribosomal RNA", at positions 94 to 334 of the family's 1533-position model. The record is from RNAcentral.
AGCGGCGGACGGGUGAGUAACGCGUGGAUAACCUGCCUCACACAGGGGGAUAACAGUUAGAAAUGACUGCUAAUACCGCAUAAGACCACGGUACCGCAUGGUACAGUGGUAAAAACUCCGGUGGUAUGAGAUGGACCCGCGUCUGAUUAGGUAGUUGGUGGGGUAACGGCCUACCAAGCCGACGAUCAGUAGCCGACCUGAGAGGGUGACCGGCCACAUUGGGACUGAGACACGGCCCAG